RNAcentral lists this ribosomal RNA (1182 nucleotides) under uncultured Enterobacteriaceae bacterium. RNAcentral describes it as "bacterial SSU rRNA". It matches the Rfam family "Bacterial small subunit ribosomal RNA", at positions 1 to 1181 of the family's 1533-position model. The record is from RNAcentral. Lineage: Bacteria; Pseudomonadati; Pseudomonadota; Gammaproteobacteria; Enterobacterales; Enterobacteriaceae.
UAGAGUUUGAUCAUGGCUCAGAUUGAACGCUGGCGGCAGGCCUAACACAUGCAAGUCGGACGGCAGCGGGAGGAAGCUUGCUUCCUUGCCGGCGAGUGGCGGACGGGUGAGUAAUAUCUGGGGAUCUGCCUGAUGGAGGGGGAUAACCACUGGAAACGGUGGCUAAUACCGCAUGAAGUCGCGAGACCAAAGCGGGGGACCUUCGGGCCCCGCGCCAUCAGAUGAACCCAGACGGGAUUAGCUGGAAGGUGGGGUAACGGCUCACCUUGGCGACGAUCCCUAGCUGGUCUGAGAGGAUGAUCAGCCACACUGGGACUGAGACACGGCCCAGACUCCUGCGGGAGGCAGCAGUGGGGAAUAUUGCACAAUGGGGGAAACCCUGAUGCAGCCAUGCCGCGUGUAUGAAGAAGGCCUUCGGGUUGUAAAGUACUUUCAGCAGGGAGGAAGGGGUGAGGAGUAACAUGCCUUGCCAUUGACGUUACCUGCAGAAGAAGCACCGGCUAACUCCGUGCCAGCAGCCGCGGUAAUACGGAGGGUGCGAGCGUUAAUCGGAAUUACUGGGCGUAAAGGGCACGCAGGCGGUUAAUUAAGCCGGAUGUGAAAUCCCCGGGCUCAACCCGGGAACUGCAUUCGGAACUGGUUGACUGGAGUUCUGUAGAGGGGGGUGGAAUUCCACGUGUAGCGGUGAAAUGCGUAGAGAUGUGGAGGAACACCAGUGGCGAAGGCGGCCCCCUGGACAGAGACUGACGCUCAAGUGCGAAAGCGUGGGGGAGCAAACAGGAUUAGAUACCCCUGGUAGUCCACGCUGUAAACGAUGUCGAUUUAAAGGCUGUGGUCAUGAACUGUGGCUUUUGGAGCAAACGCGUUAAAUCGACCGCCUGGGGAGUACGGCCGCAAGGUUAAAACUCAAAUGAAUUGACGGGGGCCCGCACAAGCGGUGGAGCAUGUGGUUUAAUUCGAUGCAACGCGAAGAACCCUCACCUGGUCUUGACAUCCACAGAAGACUGCAGAGAUGCGUUGUGCCUUUCGGGACUGUGAGACAGUGCUGCAUGCUGUCGUCAGCUCGUGUUGUGAAAUGUGGGUAGUCCCGCACGAGCGCAUCCUGUCUUGCUGCCAGGCGCGUGAAGGCGGUAACUCAUGGAGACCUGGCUGGUGAAUAAACCGGGAGGUAAGGGGUGGGGG